This 253-nucleotide ribosomal RNA is filed under the name uncultured bacterium. RNAcentral's name for it is "partial 16S ribosomal RNA". It matches the Rfam family "Bacterial small subunit ribosomal RNA", at positions 524 to 776 of the family's 1533-position model. The record is from RNAcentral.
GACGUAGGGCGCGAGCGUUGUCCGGAUUUAUUGGGCGUAAAGAGCUCGUAGGCGGCUUGUUGCGUCAGCUGUGAAAACCCGCAGCUCAACUGUGGGCUUGCAGCUGAUACGGGCAGGCUUGAGUUCGGUAGGGGAGACUGGAAUUCCUGGUGUAGCGGUGAAAUGCGCAGAUAUCAGGAGGAACACCGGUGGCGAAGGCGGGUCUCUGGGACGAUACUGACGCUGAGGAGCGAAAGCGUGGGGAGCGAACAGG